UAUUCUGCCCCAUGGGGAAGGAUGAGAAGCUUCGACUAAGGUUCGACUCGAGCGCAGCGAGAGAACGUUGCCGCAGGCAA
RNAcentral lists this small RNA (80 nucleotides) under Klebsiella pneumoniae subsp. pneumoniae. RNAcentral's name for it is "partial RtT sRNA". It matches the Rfam family "RtT RNA", at positions 1 to 79 of the family's 130-position model. Rfam says of the family: This family represents a bacterial cis-regulatory element known as RtT RNA. The exact function of RtT is unknown although it is thought that it may be involved in changing the cellular response in relation to amino acid starvation. Lineage: Bacteria; Pseudomonadati; Pseudomonadota; Gammaproteobacteria; Enterobacterales; Enterobacteriaceae. The record is from RNAcentral.